This is a long non-coding RNA of Oxyura jamaicensis (ruddy duck), 971 nucleotides long. RefSeq lists it as uncharacterized. NCBI's taxonomy places the organism in Eukaryota, Metazoa, Chordata, Aves, Anseriformes, Anatidae. The transcript is spliced from 2 exons. The record is from RefSeq and is a predicted model, not a curated record.
AGCCACAAAGCAUCUCAGAGUACACCCAUAACCUGCUGAUGGUUAAUGGGAUACUUAGAAAUCAGGUGAGGUUAAAUGCUCCCACCUCCCUUUGUGCUACAAUAGUUGGGUUAGGCCCAGCACUAAUGCAAUAAGCAUCCUGUAAUAGGUGAAUUACCAGGAAAUUGGUACUUCCACGGCUCUUGGAUGCUGUGGGUACCAUUCUGAUUUUGGGGAGAGUCACAAAUAGGAAUUGUCUGGUAGGAACUGAGGGGGUAAGUGCCUAAAUAACAUGUUUCACAAGGGCUUGCUAACAGCUAACUGUAUUUUUACAGUCAAUGGACAGAGUGUCUGAGAGCAGUGCCAGACUGUGCGAACCACACAGAAAUACUUUAAAAAUAGAGUUCCGGAGGGAGGUAAGCAUUGCGGCUCCUUGGCUAGAAAGCCAGGCUAGUGCAGCUGCAGUCUCCUUACAUGAGUCUCAUAAAAGUCCUCAAAGUGAAGGCAAAGCAAGGACUGAAGCAGUUUUAAAAUUCUCAUUCCUGCUACAUUUUCCUCAUGCUGGCAGCAGCUGCGAGUCGUGGCACAAAGGGAAAAGGACUGAUCCUGGCAACAGCAGCGUGAGGAAGGCAGGGCAGGAAAGGGCUUCAUUAAAGCCAGGAGACAUUGCUUCUCCUUUGGGAAGAAGCACAGCUGGGAAGGCCAGUCCAGUGGCUGAAGGCAUCUAGCACCACUACAGCUUUCAGCGAUGGUGGUGAUGGGUUUGAAGAAGUCGUUACAUGCAGUUUGACAAACGGGAACUGCUGCACCAGAUCACACCAGCACCAUCUUACAGAGCCUUGUUUUCUGAUUUUGAAGCUAUGCCUUGUCAAUCUUUACAGGGGGCAUUUCUACUAGUACCACGAGGGAAUGUUUUUCUCUGCAGUUUGUCACAGACAAUGCUGAAAGCUGUAGCAGAAUAAAGGCUAUUUAUUUAGAUAUACGGUAAGCAA